GAUGCCAAGACGGCCCACAUCCUCCCAGGGACA
Molecule: transfer RNA, 33 nt
Filed under: Treron sieboldii (white-bellied green-pigeon)
Lineage: Eukaryota; Metazoa; Chordata; Aves; Columbiformes; Columbidae
Description: partial tRNA-Phe
Source: RNAcentral